Molecule: ribosomal RNA, 273 nt
Filed under: Triticum aestivum (bread wheat)
Lineage: Eukaryota; Viridiplantae; Streptophyta; Magnoliopsida; Poales; Poaceae
Description: partial small subunit ribosomal RNA
Source: RNAcentral
AUGGAGCAAAUUGCUGAAGGUCUGGAUGUAGAUGUUUCAAGUCAGGGGAAAGAAAAUUGUGGAAGAAAGCCGAAAGACAUCAAUCUAGAGCAAAUCCCUACCAUCCCACUAAACAGGAGGUCUACUAUCAGGUCAUUUGCCUGGCAACUCGGGUGCAGCCCUACGACACUCCACCGGAAGUUCAUGCUGAAGUUGAUAAAGAGGCGUACAAACUGUUUGAAGCCAGCUCUGAAUGAAAAGAACAAGAAGGAUAGAGUGAAAUUUUGCUUGUAA